RNAcentral lists this ribosomal RNA (497 nucleotides) under uncultured bacterium. RNAcentral describes it as "partial 16S ribosomal RNA". It matches the Rfam family "Bacterial small subunit ribosomal RNA", at positions 28 to 507 of the family's 1533-position model. The record is from RNAcentral.
GGUGAACGCUGGCGGCGUGCCUAAUACAUGCAAGUCGAGCGAACAGAUGAGGAGCUUGCUCCUCUGACGUUAGCGGCGGACGGGUGAGUAACACGUGGAUAACCUACCUAUAAGACUGGGAUAACUUCGGGAAACCGGAGCUAAUACCGGAUAAUAUAUUGAACCGCAUGGUUCAAUAGUGAAAGACGGUUUUGCUGUCACUUAUAGAUGGAUCCGCGCCGCAUUAGCUAGUUGGUAAGGUAACGGCUUACCAAGGCAACGAUGCGUAGCCGACCUGAGAGGGUGAUCGGCCACACUGGAACGGAGACACGGUCCAGACUCCUACGGGAGGCAGCAGUAGGGAAUCUUCCGCAAUGGGCGAAAGCCUGACGGAGCAACGCCGCGUGAGUGAUGAAGGUCUUCGGAUCGUAAAACUCUGUUAUUAGGGAAGAACAAAUGUGUAAGUAACUAUGCACGUCUUGACGGUACCUAAUCAGAAAGCCACGGCUAACUACGUG